GCCCAGACUCCUACGGGAGGCAGCAGUGGGGAAUAUUGCACAAUGGGGGAAACCCUGAUGCAGCGACGCCGCGUGAGUGAAGAAGUAUUUCGGUAUGUAAAGCUCUAUCAGCAGGGAAGAAAAUGACGGUACCUGAUUAAGAAGCCCCGGCUAACUACGUGCCAGCAGCCGCGGUAAUACGUAGGGGGCAAGCGUUAUCCGGAUUUACUGGGUGUAAAGGGAGCGUAGACGGCAGCACAAGUCUGGAGUGAAAUGCCGGGGCUUAACCCCGGAACUGCUUUGGAAACUGUGCAGCUAGAGAGCAGGAGAGGUAAGUGGAAUUCCUAGUGUAGCGGUGAAAUGCGUAGAUAUUAGGAGGAACACCAGUGGCGAAGGCGGCCUGCUGGGCUUUAACUGACGCUGAGGCUCGAAAGCGUGGGUAGCAAACAGGAUUAGAUACCCGGGUAUCU
This 449-nucleotide ribosomal RNA is filed under the name uncultured bacterium. RNAcentral describes it as "bacterial SSU rRNA". It matches the Rfam family "Bacterial small subunit ribosomal RNA", at positions 329 to 795 of the family's 1533-position model. The record is from RNAcentral.